RNAcentral lists this ribosomal RNA (446 nucleotides) under uncultured bacterium. RNAcentral's name for it is "bacterial SSU rRNA". It matches the Rfam family "Bacterial small subunit ribosomal RNA", at positions 28 to 507 of the family's 1533-position model. The record is from RNAcentral.
AACGAACGCUGGCGGCAGGCUUAACACAUGCAAGUCGAAGGAGAAGCAGGGCUUCGGCCCUGUGGACACUGGCGGACGGGUGAGUAACGCGUGGGAACCUGCCCUGGGGUGGGGGACAACCGCUGGAAACGGCGGCUAAUACCGCAUACGCCCUUCGGGGGAAAGCUUUAUGUGCCCUGGGAUGGUCCCGCGUCGGAUUAGCUUGUUGGUAGGGUAACGGCCUACCAAGGCGACGAUCCGUAGCUGGUCUGAGAGGAUGAUCAGCCACACUGGAACUGAGACACGGUCCAGACUCCUACGGGAGGCAGCAGUGGGGAAUAUUGGACAAUGGGGGCAACCCUGAUCCAGCCAUGCCGCGUGCGUGAAGAAGGCCUUAGGGUUGUAAAGCGCUUUCACCGGUGACGAUGAUGACGGUAGCCGGAGAAGAAGCCCCGGCUAACUCCGUG